GUAAACAACACCUUAACUCCAGGAGAUGUCUACUGGACUACUACGCUCUGCAAGCAGGUUAGUGUUUAGGCAGGUAUGUAUUAAGGCAUACAAGAAAUUACAGUAAAUAAUCAUUAUAAAAAUAUAGACAAUAGUCACUGAUUAAGAAUGAACUGUUAUCCUUACGUUAUAUCUAUAACAUAUUUGUUGAUAAAACAGUGAGAUUAACUUUGUUACCCACCAAGUUUGGUUAUAGACUCCUGUAGUCCUGUAGUUUUAAAGAAGACAUCAUCAAACAUAACUAGCAGAUUAACAACUCAUAGCUUUAAUGAAGCAUUUGCACAAACUCUGUAAGAAAAUGAAACCUUGAUGAGACAGAAUGUAGAAACGUUAGCGUCAAUCUGUUAUUUUAAAUAUAAGAUAAAUGCAGCUUUUCAAAAUAACAUGCAAUGCUAUCCCUUGGACAUGCCGUAGUUGAACAGCAGUUACCUGCGUCCUCCUAGCCUGGCUGGGCCAUCCUGUUGCGUGAGUCACUUGACGUUCCUUCCCACCACAGUCUGGACUUCGGCCCAUAGGGAGCCCUGAAAGUGGGCGGAAGAACGUUCCUUGAUAGACAGUUUACUGUAACCAAUCACCGUAACCAAACAUCUGACAUCAUCACAGUGCGCAAUUGUGUUCCGUGCCGGGCUCUCAACCGUCAAGUAAACAUUUGGUAAUAUUUCAACGUGUGCGAGCGUCUUCUUCUGCGGAUAUAAACGAUUUCUGCCGACUUUGCAAAGUCAACUGCAGAAUUAACGGCGUUCUGAAUGAACGGCGCUUUGAAAAGUCCCGCAGCAUCUAUUAGACGUCGCCACUACACAUGGACCAAUCAGGGGCUGUCUUUCCCUGUUGUCCGGGUAACAGUGGAAACACGGUCUCUGAUUGGCCCGGUUAUUUUCUGAUCGGGAAUACACGCUCUCUAUGGGCCGAAGUCCAGACUGUGGUGGGAAGGAACGUCAAGUGAUUCACGCAACAGGAUGGCUCAGCCAGGCUAGCGUCCUCCUGCUUCCUGCUGCAGCUAUGACAAAUACUUCACACAGUGCUUUUAAAUAGCAGACUUCACCUAAAAGUGUGUGACAAACUGACUAGAAAUAUCAGUUAGAUCUUAGCAUACAGGUGCAGCUAAUAAUACUGAUGUCAGGGAGCACAACACAAAAGCUGUUAUUCAGUUUGCCACAGAAUAAAAACUUGAAAUAUGUCUUGUGGUUUUAGACCAUGAUGGUGUAGCGCUGCAGUAAAUUUUGAAAUUAAACCUUAAAGUCAAGAUCAUGAAGUUAUUUUAUUGCACCAUUUGAUUCCAAAAUCAAGAGACUAGCAGAAUGUCUUGAAAUCACUCAUAUAAACUCCAAGACUUUUGAUUAGGAAUUGGACCUAAAAAAAUCAACAGGGAUCUAUCUGUCUAUCUAUCUAUCUAUCUAUCUAUCUAUCUAUCUAUCUAUCUAUAUAUAUAUAUAUAUAUAUAUAUAUAUAUAUAUAUAUAUAUAUAUGUAUAUAUAUAAAUAUAUAUAUACAUAUACACACACACGUGUGUGUGUAUCAGCUGGUCUGUUGACAUACUUCACAGAGAAUCUCUGUGCUGAUUGGCUAUCAUUUGAGUACAGAUUUUUUGAUCAGCAGUUGAAGUGGGUAGUAGGUUGAAGUGUCAGGAAAUUAUGUCAUUUACACGUAUAAUCCAAUCAGGUGCUGACAGACCAGAUAUGGCCCACCAAGAGACACCGCCCACUUCAGCUGCUUUACUAGUUGUUUUACAUUCGAAAGUCUUUCCGGUGAAAGUAACUAUAUUAAGUGUGUAUUUUCCUCAUAGUACACCAUUGUUUGCUUCUAAUGUAUUCUUUUAUUAUAAUGAGGGGAAAGAUUCCUUGAGUCCUUUAAUGCUUUUCAACUCUGACCCAACAUUAUAACACAUAAUACCUUUCAAACUGAGAGUGUAAAACUACAGAGAUUCACAUUUUCAGAGUGUGUACAGAGAUUUUUUUUUUAUUGGGGAGACUUAUGAACACAAAACAAACAAAGCUGCUGGAGUGAGUGGGAGAGUGUUUCUCCGUCAUUGGCCUUGCUGGCGUCACCCGACAAGAACUUGCAUGUCAUCUGAUAGUGCCAGUGUCACCUGAUAAACCAAUGAUAAAUCAAUAUAAAAUAUAAACUGUUGGUCUUCAGGGGCUUCUUGAGGUGCUUUCUCAGUCACAUAAAACCGGUAUUCUCCUCAAGCUCUCAGUAUUUUUUUUACUUGGUGUUAUAUUUGGUGUUAGAUUUCUGUUCUCACAUGACAAACUCACAGUUAUCUGUAAUUCCUUGUUUAUUAGACUGACUCAUCUACAGCAAACUAUUGUUAAGAUAUAAAACCUAUAAAACCUCAGAUUCCAAGGAGAGAUCAUGUAGAAGUUUUACCAUUUAAACACUAAGCAUUUAAAACAUCCAUCUGUUUUCAUUCUUCACAGGACAACUUUUCUCUUGACAUUAUAGUUUUGUUUGUGUGUGUGUGUGUGUGUGUGUGUGUGUGUGUGUGUGUGUGUGUGUGUGUGUGUGUGUGUGUGUGUGUGUGUGUGUGUGUGUGUGUGUGUGGUCUGGUGUAAUGAUGUCUGCUUUACGACAGCAGCAGCAGCAGCUUCCUCAUCUGUCUGUCUGCAUGUAUGGCCCAUGCAUCCUCAUUAAUGACCUAUUUCAUGGCACAUUAAUUUAGAUGAUUUUAGGGAACGCAACAUUAGCACAUCUCCCCGCUCAUAACUCUUUCUCAGAGGGCAAUAUUUGGACAUUUCAUUUUCUGAAACUCACUUCAUUCAGCACAACUUCCAUCUUGUCUCGGAUAAAUUCAGCUAUGCCGCUCAUUUAUUGAAAGGGAUCAUUUGCAUGUAAGAGUUAGCAAACUCACAAGGAGACAACCAUUUAUUCAUGUUUUUUCUUUUCUUCUGGUGCCACAGAGAGCUUGAGUCUCAGCCUGCAAAAGCACAUCACACAUAUCAGAAGGAUGAGGAGGCAGGUAUUUAAAAUAUUUAUUGAACUAGAAUAAAUUUUAGGUAGAAUUCAUGUAGAUACAAGUGGUCUUUUACCUUUGCACCAGUCCAGUCCAUGUCCUUGUCCAUUUUCAGCUCAUUUCAGUCUGUUACAUCAUGGGUGCCUUCAUCUGAUUUCGGUGUUUACCCUCUUUUUCUCUCAGUGCUGUUUCUUCUCUGCAUGUUCAGCCCCUCUCUGGAUACCUCUCUGUCUUCCUCCUUUUUGAUGUAUUGCCUCUAUUUGCAUCAUUGCCCCUGAUAAAAACUCAGAUCCCAGGGCAUCAUAUUUCACAGUACUGUGUAUAAGCAUCAGUGUUAUUCUCUGCUUUGCUCUCUUUUAUACCAAAAACAUUGUCCCUGCUCUAUUGUCUGCCUUUUAUUUUUCCACAUCUCCUUUCAUCACGUGUGUCAAUCCCUGCAUGCUCUUACUCUCUCUCCCUCUCUUUUUCUCUCUCUGCAGUUUAACAGUGCUAUAGCAGCUCUUCAGGCCUCUGCAGAAGAGAAAUGUUUCUUUCAUCUGUCAGCAGCAACUCUGGGUCCGUUUCACGUAGCAGGUUUAAUGGAAACUCCGAGUUUGUUAACCCUGAAAUCAGUGAAACUCUGAGUUUUCCGUUUCACAAAGGAGGGUUAGUUAAACCAGGGAGAGAGGGGUAACUCUAACCUGUUUCACAAAGAGAGGUAACUCAACCUCGCGGUCAGUUACCACAGUAACAGACUCCGUGAACCUAACCUGCUCGGGAGCAGGUUUAACUCAGUAAACCCAGAGUUUCAGGUGAGACAUCGGCAUUUUCUCAUUUUGAUCAUGUUUUACAUUGUCAAGUAAGUAUUAAGUGGCAGUUUGAUCCCUUAAAAAAUGCUCUUUUCACACUCAAAAAUGAAUUUUACUCUCUUAUUAUGUUCCGUUAAAUGAUUAAGAAUAUUAAACUAACACAAAAACGGGUGGUGGUCCAGCAGCCCC
Molecule: non-coding RNA, 3966 nt
Organism: Xyrichtys novacula (pearly razorfish)
Lineage: Eukaryota; Metazoa; Chordata; Actinopteri; Labriformes; Labridae
Source: the annotation of a GenBank genome assembly